CCUACGGGCGGCAGCAGUGGGGGAUAUUGCACAAUGGGGGGAACCCUGAUGCAGCGACGCCGCGUGGGUGAAGGAGCGUUUCGGCGCGUAAAGCCCUAUCGGCAGGGAAGAAGAUGACGGUACCUGACCAAGAAGCCCCGGCAAACUACGUGCCAGCAGCCGCGGGAAUACGUAGGGGGCCAGCGUUAUCCGGAUUUACUGGGGGUAAAGGGGGCGCAGACGGCAAUGCAAGCCAGGAGGGAAAGCCCGGGGCCCCACCCCGGGACUGCUCUUGGAACUGCAUGGCUGGAGUACAGGAGGGGCAGGCGGAAUUCCUAGUGUAGCGGUGAAAUGCGUAGAUAUUAGGAGGAACACCGGUGGCGAAGGCGGCCUGCUGGACUGUGACUGACGUUGAGGCCCGAAGGCGUGGGUAGCAAACAGGAUUAGAUACCCCAGUAGUC
Molecule: ribosomal RNA, 440 nt
Filed under: uncultured bacterium
Lineage: Bacteria
Description: partial 16S ribosomal RNA
Rfam family: Bacterial small subunit ribosomal RNA
Source: RNAcentral